This 234-nucleotide ribosomal RNA is filed under the name uncultured bacterium. RNAcentral's name for it is "partial 16S ribosomal RNA". It matches the Rfam family "Bacterial small subunit ribosomal RNA", at positions 101 to 334 of the family's 1533-position model. The record is from RNAcentral.
AAACGGGUGCGGAACACGUACGCAAUCUGCCCUUUACCGGGGAAUAGCCUUCUGAAAAGGAGAUUAAAACCCCAUAAGAUUACGGAGUGGCAUCACUCAGUAAUUAAAAAUUUAUUGGUAGAGGAUGAGCGUGCGUCCUAUUAGCUAGUUGGUAAGGUAAUGGCUUACCAAGGCGAUGAUAGGUAGCUGGUGUGAGAGCACGACCAGCCACACGGGCACUGAGACACGGGCCCG